This is a long non-coding RNA of Pezoporus flaviventris, 425 nucleotides long. RefSeq lists it as uncharacterized. The record is from RefSeq and is a predicted model, not a curated record. Lineage: Eukaryota; Metazoa; Chordata; Aves; Psittaciformes; Psittacidae. The transcript is spliced from 4 exons.
UUAUAAAGCAAUGGGAAGAUAUGGGGAGGUACAGCUAGAACAGGUUCAGAAGAGGUUGAAGCUGCCUGAACAGUGAAGGCAAAGAUUUUGGAAGAACAGACUGAGGAAGGAGCUAAUGAUACUCCAAAAGAGGAUCAAGUCCUUCUUUGGAAAUGCUUAAGCCUGGGGAUCUAUCCUGAGACAAGAUAGUUUGGGACCAUCCUGUCAAGAGAGAGGUUGGGACCAAGAGGAAGCUCUUGAGUCAUCACUGUGGUGCUCUGCUAUCACCAGCUAUCUUGUGGCAUAAACCUUAUCCUGAACUGGUCAAAUUUAAUAACAAACCAGGUGAUGGAUGACCCUUCUUGGCAGACUCAGCAAAACCCAUCCUGCCUUGAGGUCCUAUAGAGUAAUGGAUCAUAAUGAGUAGAUAAUUAAGUCUGAUAAAA